Molecule: non-coding RNA, 1480 nt
Organism: Macaca mulatta (Rhesus monkey)
Lineage: Eukaryota; Metazoa; Chordata; Mammalia; Primates; Cercopithecidae
Source: RefSeq, a predicted model, not a curated record
GAGCAGGUGCUCCGCCCCUCCCUCAUCACCAGCAGUGAAAAUCUAGAGCUGGAGCCCAGCCUCUGGGAAGGCCCAGCAUGGAGGCAGCCACAGCUCCGGAGGUGGCCGUAGGAUCCAAGCUGAAGGUGAAAGAAGUCAGCCCAGCAGAUGCUGAACCACCCCAGGCUUCACCUGGACAGGGGGCUGGCAGCCCCACUCCCCAGCUCCUGCCCCCUAUAGAAGAGCACCCCAAGAUCUGGCUACCUCGGGCCCUGAGGCAGACCUACAUCCGGAAGGUUGGGGACACAGUGAACCUACUAAUCCCAUUCCAGGGCAAGCCCAAACCUCAAGCCAUCUGGACACACGAUGGCUGUGCCUUGGACACCAGCCGUGUGAGUGUGCGGAAUGGGGAGCGAGACUCCAUCCUCUUCAUCCGAGAAGCCCAACGUGCUGACUCAGGUCGCUACCAACUCCGUGUGCAGCUGGGCGGGCUGGAGGCCACUGCCACCAUUGACAUCCUGGUGAUUGAGAGGCCAGGCCCUCCUCAGAGUAUUAAGCUAGUGGACGUCUGGGGCUUCAACGCGACCCUGGAAUGGACACCUCCCCAAGAUACGGGGAAUACAGCACUCCUGGGAUACACGGUGCAGAAGGCUGACACAAAAUCUGGGCUGUGGUUCACAGUGCUGGAGCACUAUCACCGCACCAGCUGCAUCGUCUCCGAUCUCAUCAUCGGCAACUCCUAUGCCUUCCGUGUCUUUGCUGAAAACCAAUGCGGACUCAGUGAAACAGCCCCCAUCACCACGGACCUCGCCCACAUCCAGAAAGCAGCUACUGUUUACAAGAUCAAGGGAUUUGCCCAACGAGAUUUAUCUGAAGCCCCAAAGUUUACCCAGCCUCUGGCCGACUGCACUACAGUCACCGGCUAUAACACCCAGCUCUUCUGCUGUGUCCGUGCCUCUCCCCGGCCCAAGAUCAUCUGGCUGAAGAACAAGAUGGAUAUCCAAGGCAACCCUAAGUACAGAGCCCUGACUCACCUGGGAAUCUGCUCCCUAGAGAUCCGCAAGCCUGGUCCCUUUGAUGGAGGCAUCUAUACCUGCAAGGCGGUGAACCCCCUAGGGGAGGCAUCUGUGGACUGUCGGGUGGAUGUGAAAGCCUAGGAAAGCUGCAGCUGUUUGUCGGGCUUUAUUUCACUUUCCCCUCUUGUUUGUUUACAGUUCCUAAUUGAGGACACCUAAGAAGACGUGGUACUCUGACAAAGAAGUCAGCUCCCAUGUAAAGGAUCUCAGGCUACAUUACUGAAUGAUGAGAGGCCACGUGGAGGACAACCAAGCAUCCCCACUGACAGCCAGCACCCUGGCCCCAGACACAUGUGGCCACCUUGGACCCCAGAGCCCCAGUCGAGCACCUUGUAGAGACAAAUCACCCCUGGAGAGCCCUGCCCACAUUGUAAACUCAUGAGCAAAUAAAUAGUGGCUGUUGUUUCAAGCCACUAAAUUUUGAA